RNAcentral lists this ribosomal RNA (1951 nucleotides) under marine metagenome. Its description in RNAcentral is "bacterial LSU rRNA". It matches the Rfam family "Bacterial large subunit ribosomal RNA", at positions 3 to 1989 of the family's 2925-position model. The record is from RNAcentral.
UUAAGUUAGUAAGGGCAUUUGGUGGAUGCCUUGGCAUAUGAAGGCGAUGAAGGGCGUGGUAAGCUGCGAUAAGCCUCGGGUAGGUGCAAACAACCUUUAAUCCGGGGAUUUCCGAAUGGGAGAACCCUUUCCGGGUAAUGCCGGAAAACUGCCACCUGAAUAUAUAGGGUGGUAAGAGUCAACGCAGGGAAGUGAAACAUCUCAGUACCUGCAGGAAAAGAAAACAAAAGUGAUUCCCAUAGUAGCGGCGAGCGAACUGGGAACAGCCUAAACCAAUAUAGUGUCAUGACUGUCAUUUUAGCUAUAUUGGGGUUGCGUGGAAUGACCAGAGGGUGUGACAGAACCUUCGGCGAGUCAGAAAACUUUUGCUUAGGAGAAUUGAAUCAGGAAAGGUUCAGCCAUAGAGGGUGAUAGCCCCGUAUCCGAAAAGCAUUGGUCUCGUUGGGUCAUUUUCUCAAGUAGGGCGGAACACGAGAAAUUCCGUUUGAAUCUGCCAGGACCACCUGGUAAGGCUAAAUACUCUCAUAUGACCGAUAGUGUAACAGUACCGUGAGGGAAAGGUGAAAAGUACCCCGAGAGGGGAGUGAAAUAGAACCUGAAACCGAAUGUCUACAAGCUGUCGAAGUCCGCAAGGACGACGGCGUGCCUUUUGCAUAAUGAGCCAGCAAGUUACUCGUAUCUAGCGAGGUUAAAUCUAUAGGGAUGGAGCCGUAGGGAAACCAAGUCUGAAUAGGGCGUAUAGUUAGGUGCGGUAGACGCGAAACCGAGUGAUCUUACCAUGGGCAGGUUGAAGCUCCAGUAAAAUGGAGUGGAGGACCGAACCGACUUGGGUUGAAAACCGAGCGGAUGACCUGUGGUAAGGGGUGAAAGGCCAAUCAAACUCGGUGAUAUCUCGUUCUCUCCGAAAUGCAUCUAGGUGCAGCGUUACGAUAUAGUAUCAUGGAGGUAGAGCACUGAAUGGGCUAGGGUCCUAAUCAGGGUACCAACCCCUAUCAAACUCCGAAUUCCAUUGAUAUGUUUCGUAGCAGUGAGGCAUUGGGUGAUAAGAUUCAAUGCCGAGAGGGAAACAACCCAGACCUACAGCUAAGGCCCCUAAAUUUUUACUAAGUGAUAAAGGAUGUAGAUUAGCACAGACAGCUAGGAGGUUGGCUUAGAAGCAGCCAUUCCUUUAAAGAAAGCGUAACAGCUCACUAGUCAAGGUAAUCUGCGCCGAUAAUCUCCGGGACUCAAGUAAAAUGCCGAAGCUUAGGAUUUCCGAUUUAUCGGAAGUGGUAGGAGAGCGUUCCAUCAACUGUCGAAGGCUGACCCGGGAGGGCAGCUGGAGGAAAUGGAAAUGAGGAUGCUGGCAUGAGUACGCGAUAAAACACGUUAAAUUCGUGUUCACCGUAAGCCCAAGGUUUCCUGAUCAAUGUAAAUCAGAUCAGGGUUAGUCGGCCCCUAAGGCGAGGCCGAAAGGCGUAGUCGAUGGAAAUCAGGUAACUUCUGAAUAUUCCUGAACCUCCGACCCUUAAACCGGGACACCCAUCUUCCAGACCUGUUUGUCUUAUUGAUUUGACACUCAGGAGUAAGAGGUGGCAAGAAAAAGCCCGGUGUAUGCUAAGGAGACCGUACCGUAAACCGACACAGGUAGGCGAGGAGAGAAUCCUAAGGUGCUUGAGAGAAUUCUGGUUAAGGAACUCGGCAAAAUAGCCCCGUAACUUCGGGAGAAGGGGUGCCCCGCUUUGGCGGGGCCGCAGUGAAAUGGGGGUAGCGACUGUUUACUAAAAACAUAGGUCUAUGCUAACACGUAAGUGGAAAUAUAUGGACUGACACCUGCCCGGUGCUGGAAGGUUAAGAUACUUUGUCAUUCAGACUUGUCUGAAGAAGCUCGGUGUUGAAGCCCCAGUAAACGGCGGCCGUAACUAUAACGGUCCUAAGGUAGCGAAAUUCCUUGUCGGGUAAGUUCCGACCU